Molecule: small nucleolar RNA, 127 nt
Organism: Grammomys surdaster
Lineage: Eukaryota; Metazoa; Chordata; Mammalia; Rodentia; Muridae
Product: small nucleolar RNA SNORA17
Exons: 1
Source: RefSeq, a predicted model, not a curated record
CCUGCACCUAGAGGCACUGCAGGUGUGGCUGCUGUGUCACAUGUGCUUCUCUAGGUGGCAGAGAGACAGGCUGUCUGUGCUCAGUGUUCUGACCUAUGAAUAUCUGAAUGAUUAGUAGCCUAACGUU